AGAAAAGAAAGAUUAUUACUGUUAAAAAUGAUAAUUACAUAUAUUGUGUAUUAUUUACGAUCAACGAUUCUCGACCAUUCAGUUGGUUUAACUUAUUAUCGAACCAAAAAAUGGGAAGCUGUAAGAAACUUGCUCCGCGAAUACACCAAAACAAUGGGAAAUGCACAAGGAGCUUUUUGCAUCACUUUUCGAACUGAAUCAAUGGCUCGUAGUGUAUACUAACAAAUUAACACAACCUCGUGCAUUCUUCAAUACUUUCCAAAUAAUUCAUUUUGUAAUUCUCAGGAACACAAUGAGGCUGAAUCAUGGCAAGCAUCAUUUGCUCCUGAUCCAACGGACAUAAACUGGGAUGCCUUGGUCAUCAAUAAAAAAGGAAUGUGGUUCCGAACAUUUGAAGUUAACUUUUUACUUUUCAUCAUCUUCUUCUUUUGCACCACACCAUCAUUCAUUUUACCAUACAUUUCCAAUUUUCCUGCCAAUUCUGCCUUCUUUGAGCUCCAGAAAAAGUAUGAACAUGAAUUGAAACCCAUUUCAUUUCUAGCUCAAUUCUUGAAACCUUUGGUUCUUCUACUCGUGGCCUCUAUAUUGCCUGACGUUGUCUAUUAUUUUUCAUCUCUUGUUCCUGAUCCACUGAAAUCUGAACAGAAACAUGGAGUCAUGUGGAGAGUUUGACGAAUGUUUUAUGAUUCUUAUGAUUAUAAUAAUCCCUUCACUUGAACAAUCUAGGUAAAACUGUCAUUUAAAAAUUAAGUAAGAAUAAGGUUUUACGGACUAAGGAGGGGAAACAUGGGACAUUUAAAUAAAGAUCCAAUCAGGUUAAUCUUUUAAAUUCAAGUCUAAUGGUUAUAAUGGUAAUUGAACUAAUUGUUAGUUACUAAUCUUGUCUCAAAUCCA
Molecule: non-coding RNA, 894 nt
Organism: Tetranychus urticae (two-spotted spider mite)
Lineage: Eukaryota; Metazoa; Arthropoda; Arachnida; Trombidiformes; Tetranychidae
Source: RefSeq, a predicted model, not a curated record